RNAcentral lists this ribosomal RNA (1010 nucleotides) under Acinetobacter sp. Its description in RNAcentral is "bacterial SSU rRNA". It matches the Rfam family "Bacterial small subunit ribosomal RNA", at positions 56 to 1062 of the family's 1533-position model. Lineage: Bacteria; Pseudomonadati; Pseudomonadota; Gammaproteobacteria; Moraxellales; Moraxellaceae. The record is from RNAcentral.
UGCAGUCGAGCGGGGAAGGGUAGCUUGCUACCUAACCUAGCGGCGGACGGGUGAGUAAUGCUUAGGAAUCUGCCUAUUAGUGGGGGACAACAUUCCGAAAGGAAUGCUAAUACCGCAUACGCCCUACGGGGGAAAGCAGGGGAUCUUCGGACCUUGCGCUAAUAGAUGAGCCUAAGUCAGAUUAGCUAGUUGGUGGGGUAAAGGCCUACCAAGGCGACGAUCUGUAGCGGGUCUGAGAGGAUGAUCCGCCACACUGGGACUGAGACACGGCCCAGACUCCUACGGGAGGCAGCAGUGGGGAAUAUUGGACAAUGGGCGAAAGCCUGAUCCAGCCAUGCCGCGUGUGUGAAGAAGGCCUUUUGGUUGUAAAGCACUUUAAGCGAGGAGGAGGCUACCGAGAUUAAUACUCUUGGAUAGUGGACGUUACUCGCAGAAUAAGCACCGGCUAACUCUGUGCCAGCAGCCGCGGUAAUACAGAGGGUGCGAGCGUUAAUCGGAUUUACUGGGCGUAAAGCGUGCGUAGGCGGCUUUUUAAGUCGGAUGUGAAAUCCCUGAGCUUAACUUAGGAAUUGCAUUCGAUACUGGGAAGCUAGAGUAUGGGAGAGGAUGGUAGAAUUCCAGGUGUAGCGGUGAAAUGCGUAGAGAUCUGGAGGAAUACCGAUGGCGAAGGCAGCCAUCUGGCCUAAUACUGACGCUGAGGUACGAAAGCAUGGGGAGCAAACAGGAUUAGAUACCCUGGUAGUCCAUGCCGUAAACGAUGUCUACUAGCCGUUGGGGCCUUUGAGGCUUUAGUGGCGCAGCUAACGCGAUAAGUAGACCGCCUGGGGAGUACGGUCGCAAGACUAAAACUCAAAUGAAUUGACGGGGGCCCGCACAAGCGGUGGAGCAUGUGGUUUAAUUCGAUGCAACGCGAAGAACCUUACCUGGUCUUGACAUAGUAAGAACUUUCCAGAAUGGAUUGGUGCCUUCGGGAACUUACAUACAGGUGCUGCAUGGCUGUCGUCAGCUCG